CGCAGCCGCGGGAAUACGAAGGGGGCUAGCGUUGUUCGGAAUUACUGGGCGUAAAGCGCACGUAGGCGGAUAUUUAAGUCAGGGGUGAAAUCCCAGAGCUCAACUCUGGAACUGCCUUUGAUACUGGGUAUCUUGAGUAUGGAAGAGGUGAGUGGAAUUCCGAGUGUAGAGGUGAAAUUCGUAGAUAUUCGGAGGAACACCAGUGGCGAAGGCGGCUCACUGGUCCAUUACUGACGCUGAGGUGCGAAAGCGUGGGGAGCAAACAGGAUUAGAUACCCCCGUAGUCCCUGUCUCUUAUACA
Molecule: ribosomal RNA, 301 nt
Filed under: uncultured bacterium
Lineage: Bacteria
Description: partial 16S ribosomal RNA
Rfam family: Bacterial small subunit ribosomal RNA
Source: RNAcentral